UCGGCAACGAGAGGAAGCGCCACCCACCGGAGCCCCGGCGAUCGCGGCGCCCCGGCGUUGGGGGGUGGGGGUGGUGGUGUCGGCAACAACGACAACGCCACCGGCGACAACGAUGCCGACCGCCACAACGAGCCGACGGCG
Molecule: non-coding RNA, 141 nt
Filed under: Pseudo-nitzschia fraudulenta
Lineage: Eukaryota; Bacillariophyta; Bacillariophyceae; Bacillariales; Bacillariaceae
Source: RNAcentral